GCAGAAUAGCUCAGUUGGUAGAGCAUGAGACUCCUAAUCUCAUGGUCAUGAAUUUGAGCCCCAUGUUGAGCG
Podarcis lilfordi (Lilford's wall lizard) is the source of this 72-nucleotide non-coding RNA. The record is from the annotation of a GenBank genome assembly. NCBI's taxonomy places the organism in Eukaryota, Metazoa, Chordata, Lepidosauria, Squamata, Lacertidae.